AACGAACGCUGGCGGCAUGCCUAACACAUGCAAGUCGAACGAAACCUUCGGGUCUAGUGGCGCACGGGUGUGUAACGCGUGGGAACAUGCACUUAGGUUCGGCAUAACUCUCCGACAGGGGUGACAACACCGGAUAAUGUCUUCGGACCAAUGAUUUAUCGAACUUGGUGGGGCCGGCGUUGGAUUAGCUAGUUGGUAGGGUAAUAGCCUCACAAGGCGUCGAUCAGUAGCUGGUAUGGGAGGAGGAUUAGCAACACCUGGACUGAGACACGGCCGAGACUCCUACGGGAGGGAGCAGUGGGGAAUAUUGGACCAUGGGGUGAAGCCUGAUCCAGCAAUGCCGGGAGAGUGAUGAAGGCCGUAGGGUUGUAAAGCUCUUUUACCCGGGAUGAUAAUGACAGUACCGGGAGAAUAAGCUCCGGCUAACUCCGUG
This 433-nucleotide ribosomal RNA is filed under the name uncultured bacterium. RNAcentral describes it as "partial 16S ribosomal RNA". It matches the Rfam family "Bacterial small subunit ribosomal RNA", at positions 29 to 507 of the family's 1533-position model. The record is from RNAcentral.